GCGUGCUUAACACAUGCAAGUCGAACGGAAAGGCCCUUCGGGGUACUCGAGCGGCGAACGGGUGAGUAACACGUGGGUGAUCUGCCCUGCACUUUGGGAUAAGCCUGGGAAACUGGGUCUAAUACCGAAUAGGACCACGGCCUUCAUGGGUUGUGGUGGAAAGCUUUUGCGGUGUGGGAUGGGCCCGCGGCCUAUCAGCUUGUUGGUGGGGUAAUGGCCUACCAAGGCGACGACGGGUAGCCGGCCUGAGAGGGUGACCGGCCACACUGGGACUGAGAUACGGCCCAGACUCCUACGGGAGGCAGCAGUGGGGAAUAUUGCACAAUGGGCGCAAGCCUGAUGCAGCGACGCCGCGUGAGGGAUGACGGCCUUCGGGUUGUAAACCUCUUUCAAUAGGGACGAAGCGCAAGUGACGGUACCUAUAGAAGAAGCACCGGCCAACUACGUGCCAGCAGCCGCGGUAAUACGUAGGGUGCGAGCGUUGUCCGGAAUUACUGGGCGUAAAGAGCUCGUAGGUGGUUUGUCGCGUUGUCCGUGAAACCUCACAGCUUAACUGUGGGCGUGCGGGCGAUACGGGCAGACUAGAGUACUGCAGGGGAGACUGGAAUUCCUGGUGUAGCGGUGGAAUGCGCAAAUAUCAGGAGGAACCCCGGUGGCGAAGGCGGGUCUCUGGGCAGUAACUGACGCUGAAGAACGAAAGCGUGGGGGACCGACAGGAUUAGAUACCCUGGUAGUCCACGCCGUAAACGGUGGGUACUAGG
Molecule: ribosomal RNA, 761 nt
Filed under: Mycobacterium sp. MG19
Lineage: Bacteria; Bacillati; Actinomycetota; Actinomycetes; Mycobacteriales; Mycobacteriaceae
Description: bacterial SSU rRNA
Rfam family: Bacterial small subunit ribosomal RNA
Source: RNAcentral